Molecule: long non-coding RNA, 1414 nt
Organism: Phyllopteryx taeniolatus (common seadragon)
Lineage: Eukaryota; Metazoa; Chordata; Actinopteri; Syngnathiformes; Syngnathidae
Exons: 3
Source: RefSeq, a predicted model, not a curated record
CUAUAUAAGUACUGAGCGCCGUCAUUCCAGACAACCUGGACACCAGUCUGCUCAGUAGCCCCAUACACCUCUAUGUUAUGUGGACACACACGUGAUUGAAAACCGAGUGAGGCGGUGACUUAUUGAGCUAGCACUUGGGUCGGGGUCAAUGUUUUCCAAUGAUUCACCGCCUCACUCGGUUUUGUGUCGUGUGCGUCCACAUAACAGAGACACUUCAGGCAAAGUUAACUGUUUAUAAAAAACACAGCAGCAUAUGUUAUUGAGCAUUUGGCUCACACUACAGACAUGCCCACAGCGUCUGGCAGCUGGGAGGAGACAUCCAUCCAUACCUUGAGGCAUGGAUUACUGGGAUUCUUCAUUGAUUUGAAAGACCCACGGAUCAGGAUCAGUUGUCGUGGACCUCCGCUUCGCAAAGCCAACAUCGUGACUCGCGGCAGCUGCCACCGGGAAGCCCUGCGGAUCUCCGCGUGUCCCCACCUCCCCCUCUCCUCCGCCGAAUUGUUUAAGCAUAUUGUAACAGUAUCACUGUUUAGUGGUGUACUAGUGAGUUGAGAGUCAUGGGUGAAUGAACAUCACACGGACAGGGAAUAACGAUUCUAACUCCUUUAAAACAUAUACCUCCGCAAUUACAUUCCAUUAGUCCCAAAAAUAAAAUAAACAGUUCCACUCCAUAUCACUGCACAAAUAAAUCACAUUACAUACUUCUCUCUCUUCAAAUGUAAUGUCUACAUUUAAAAUAAAAAUCAGAAAAAGCUACUCUGAAAAAUACAUCAGUUUACAAUAUCACUACGCGGAGGAAAAGAAACUAUGUCGGAGUCCCAUGAUUUUUUUACUUGGCUGUGUCUAAACCUGCCUUGCCUUUAAGAGUGUUCCUGCCCUUCUGACUUGAUCUGAAUGUUUGGACUCAAGCAAAUAAAUCACUGUUAGUAGCAUGCAUGAUUAUUGCUGCAGCAAUAAUAGAGUUUUGGAGGUAAUGUAUACGAAUGUAAAGAUUGGAUUGACAGGGAUGGAAGUGCACGGUAAUGGUAAUACAUGAUGUGAAGAUGUCUUUUUCACAAAAAUCUGGGGGAAAACGCAUAGAAACUAGUAAAGCUUAUUGAGAAGGACUCUGAGAGCAAGACAAAGAUUGGCUUAAAUGGAUAAAUAAAAUAGGGUUAUGGUUGUGGCGGCACGGUGGGCGACUGGUUAGAGCGUCUGCCUCACAGUUCUGAGGACUGGGGUUCAAUCCCAGUGUGGAGUUUGCAUGUUCUCCCCGUGCCUGCGUGGGUUUUCUCCGGGCACUCCGGUUUCCUCCCACAUCCCAAAAACAUGCGUGGUAGGUUGAUUGAAGACUCUAAAUUGCCCGUAGGUGUGAAUGUGAGUGUGAAUGGUUCUUUGUUUAUGUGUGCCCUGCGAUUGGAUGGCAACCAGUUCA